UCCUUUUAAUCCCGAACCCGACUUCUGCUCUGCGCGCCCGAUUCCUCUCUUCCCAUAUCUCCCCUCUACUUGACGCGCUCUCUCUCGCGGACGACUCGAAGACGACGGAACGGAGCUUCGACCUUCGGUGAUCGACAGUGUCACUUGAGGAGGAAGUCUUCGGAUCUCGACGAUACCGGCGGAGUCCAAGCCAUCUUCAGUAAUCGAUACCUAGGGCACGACUGAUCGCCUGCUUCUCGCCGGACCUUUUCUUCUUUCCUCGGCACCGCCGGUGUAGAUUUAUUCCCGGAGCCUCAAGGAUGAGCUAUCUUGUUCUUCUUUGAUUUCCCGCAAACCUCAGCGCCGAACCUUUCCUCGAUUCCUCCUCUUCCUCUUGUGGCGCUGUGCCCUAGCCGGAUCUUGGAGAGACGUUCGAUUGUUGAGGUAAUCUGGUGGGGGAGUCUUCUUCCGGCAGCAACCAUCUAUGGUUGAGGAUCAGCAGAAAGUGAACUGUUGAUUGCCUCUAAACCUUACGUGAGAAAGAUUCCAGCAGGGAAGUUUAGUUCUGUGGUGUUCUUUGGUCCCAUCAACUACUCUUUCAUGGCAGUAACGAUUCUGGAUUGGGGAUCAACAGAAGGGGCUGAGCUUGAGUUAAGAUUGGGAGGCCAGGGUAUAGGGUCUCAAAGCAAUUUGAUCCAGAGACAAAACAACGGUCUCUUCUGUUUCAGCCAACCCUUUGUUUCAAAGUAUUUUGAUGUUAUUGAUCCUUCAAGGACGAACAACAAUCUUUGACAAAGUUUCAGAACAAGUAAGCGAUUGGUGGUUUGGAUGUCAAUGAGUGGAACGGUAGAAGGGUCGUCUCUGAACCCAAAUGCCCUACACUCUGUUCUGCAGCAGUUGCGGGAGUCAGUGCAGGCAUUGUUGGAACACUUCCAUCAGUGGAGGCAACAAGAGAUGGCUGGCAAAGACUUGUUUGAGACUGCCUCUGUGGAGGCUUUAGUCAUGAACCUGAGCACCAAAUCUCCGAAAAAAGGCGUGAGGCCGGGUAAAUAUCGUGAAAAACUUGUCCAAUGCGUAAGGCCAAAGUGUACUCCUCACCGCAUCAUUCUUCGAGGCCGACUAGCUAUUUUGUGUUUUUUUUUGUUUUAAAUUCGAAUGUCACUAUACUUUGAAACAGAACUAUUUAGUCUUUGUGUAUAGUUGAAUUCUCCUGUAAAUACUAAUAUUUUGUAAUUGAA
This is an RNA transcript of Zingiber officinale, 1217 nucleotides long. RefSeq lists it as uncharacterized. NCBI's taxonomy places the organism in Eukaryota, Viridiplantae, Streptophyta, Magnoliopsida, Zingiberales, Zingiberaceae. The record is from RefSeq and is a predicted model, not a curated record. The transcript has 5 exons.